Plectropomus leopardus (leopard coralgrouper) is the source of this 4099-nucleotide long non-coding RNA. RefSeq lists it as uncharacterized. The record is from RefSeq and is a predicted model, not a curated record. NCBI's taxonomy places the organism in Eukaryota, Metazoa, Chordata, Actinopteri, Perciformes, Serranidae.
UGCUUUGAGGUGGUUGCUGCGUGGAGCUGCUGGUGCCUGCAGGCAGUCCUCGGUUGCCCAGGAAACACAGAUGGUGGAUGAAGGGCGCGCAUACAAAAGACCAUAAACCUGUGGCAGCAGCUGGAGACCGAGACCGCUGAUUAAUUCAGGUCUGUGCUUAGUCAAAGGCGUCUCUGUUCUCUCUUAAUACCUCCCAUCCAUUUUCUUUGUCCCGGGGCUUCCGUCCUCCACUUUAUCCCGUUUCCCCGGACUGCUCUCCCGUCAGUGCGCAGCUGUUGUUGGCACUCCCACAUCUGCUUGUCUCGGAUCGGCAGCCAUGUAGACGACGCUCCGCCGCAGCUCGUGUUAGUGCGUAGCGUGGAGGUCCAGGGGGCGAGCAGCCUUUUACUGCGGGCUAAUCGCAGCACUCACACGGCGUGAAUUUGCAGGGUCGGCGGCUGCCCUGGGCAUGGAGGAAGAAGGGGAAGAAAAAGAAGAAGAAGUGAUGUUUUUGCACCGUUUGAUGCUGCGGGACAGGUGCAUGUGGAACCUGGACAUCACUGGUAACCUUGUGGUUGGAGGAUUCAUCCACAGAGCUGCCGACAUGUCACCAGUCAGGAAACUGGGAGGAUCCAAAUGGAAACCAACAGCAGGACAGGUUAUGUGUACAGGCUGGAUUAUAUUUACCAAAAAUCAUGAGGGAGGAUAGUGUUUCACAGCACAUAACAUCAGAUGGAUAAUUGAACAGCACUACUCAGUUAGAUAACAUGUCUUUUAACAGUGGGUGUGUUUCAGUCUCAUUUGUGUAAGACUAAAUAAAGCAGCAACAACGAGCAAUCCCUUGGGUGUCUUAGGAGGUCAGUUGGGUUGCGUCCCACUUUUCUGCUGCUUUGUGUUGUGUGUUCCUCUCCAGUUACACUGAUGAAAAAACCUGGGCUCGCGCUGGACCUCACGAGCUGCACGACUCCAUCGCCCUCCGCUGUGUGCUGCCUCACACAACGUGAUCGAUGCAUGGUGCCAUCGCUGCUGUCCUGUACCUUCAGAAGGAGAGGAUCCAUGUCCAAGUGUUCCCCCACUGGGAGACGACUUCUGCCGCUCCUGUGUAUCAAUGAAAAAGGGCUUUGAAGAGUUCAAAAUGCCACCGCAGCUUUGUAGUCAGUGUCAGCAUGAUCUGAUUUAACAGGAAGGUAUUUCACGGCUGGUGUUUUGGGUCCAGAAUAGUCUGCUGUAGCGCUCUUUCCUGUUUCCCUCAAAUGUGCGGUAAUACUAAUAUAGCUUUGUCCACCCCCACUCUCAUGUUUUUUUUUUUUCUUUUUGGCUGAUCAUAAACACUGCAGCCAUCGAACAACCUCUCAUCCUUAUUUUCAUCAGCCGCCGUGUGCAGUAACCUCUUCGCUCUGUUACCUUGGUUACCUUGUCUUUCACACUUUGGCCACUUCUCCCUUUAUAAGACACUUUAAAAUCACUAGUGUUUUUUUUUUUUUUUCAAUGUGUGUUAACUUCUCACCAAACUAAGCAUCUAUCUGCCAGAUUCAAAACUGGAAAGCUUUAGUUUUUCAAGCCUGUUAAAAAAAAUCUGCUUUAGUGUGUGAGAGUUUUCUCACAUUAUGACAAUGUGUAAUUCUCACAGUAUGUUCAUUGUUUGUCUUGAAACGUCUCAAUUUGGGUGUGAAGCCGACUAAUUUUUACAGUACAAACUCUGUAUUUUUACUGUAGCGUGUGGGCGUGUGAGUGUCUGCGUGAGUGCAUGUGUUUGUGUGCAUGUGCUCUAUUUGGUGUGCGUGUUUGUUCCUCUGCAUGUGUCCGUCUGACAAAACACAUUCGUAAUGGGCCUGAAGCUACUAGCUGCUUUCAGUGGUUUUUCUCAUUGCUGCACAGAUUCUUUUCUUUUUAAAAAAUGCCUGAAUCUCUUCUUUUAGCACUCUGGAUGUACCAGACAAAAGGAUAAAAACCAUAUUUACAAAUGAUUCUUAGCAUUUGUUACGGCUCUAAUUGAAGUACCAGUUAGGUGGGGGUUCUUGUGAUUCAGAUAAUCACAAGAAUGUCGCUGGAAAUUAAUGGUGUGUAGUUUUCUAAAUGGUGCCUGCUAGUGUUAAUUAAACUGUCCUGAUGCCUACAGCCCCAUCAUCUGAUACUUCAGCAAAUUACAGCAAAUGCUAAUAAUUAUGUGCAAAUAGCUUUUUACCCAGGUCUGGAUUCUACUAACAGUAUCUCACUAAUAUCUAACAAUACUAAUGUCUGCUAACAGUCGGAUGAUUACUAACCUGUACUCUGAAUGCUGAUGGCUGGCCUUGAUCUUUCUAACCCACUGACUAACCCCUCUGCUUUAUGCCCGCAGUCUGACGCACACACUCCUCUCUCACGAUCCUGCAAUCCUUCUAGAAAUCACAGACAAAGAUGAAUUAUUAAAGAAGAAAAUCAAUGAAAGCUGUUAAAGUGAGCAUGUCAAGAAGGGUUUCAGGACUUGGGAAGGGAAAUGUUAUUAACCACUAGAUGAAAAGAGGAGCAGAAAGAGCUGCUGAUAUCAAACUGGGUUGACCACAUACUUUAGAAGAAGCCUCGCAAAAAUGAUUUGAUCCCAAAAUGUCUCACGCCGCUGUUCCACACUUUGCAGGCUAAAUUCACAUCUUUAGAGGUCGUCUUUCUGUCUCUGCCUGUGUGGUCAACCCUCGCAGGUGAGUGCCUGGCUUGUUGUCACCACAGGCCACGCAAACCUUCACUACUAACUUACUAUGGUGUUGAUACUAACAGUGGUGAGGCUGUAAAGGCCCGCCUGUUGCUCCUACUAACAUCCGUGUUCUUUCUGACUGAAACUUCCUGGUGUUUGUAAUCAAAUUAUUCCGUCUCUUUGUUAGUCUGUAAUUAAAUCAGAGCAUGCCUCUUGGUACUGGGGAUGUUUAUUAAAUGACAUUACAUGGAGGCUUUUACCCAAAACAUCUUCUAGUGCCAUGAGUGUAUGCUUUUUAUCAGUGGGAACAAAGCUCUAACCGUGUUAGUGACGUGCUCGACCCAAAUCCUGAUAAACAAGUUCUGUUCUCUCAACAAGCUACUAACAUCUCCUAAAGUUAAAUAACCAGGUACUAACCAAAGAGCUUUUAUUAGCUCACUGCAAACUAACAAACUAACCUACUAAUAAACUAAUAACCUAACAAAAACUAACUAAAAUCACUAACUUUGUGCUGAGUGGCAGAAUAUGUAAAGCAUCCUGUUUUGGAGGCGUGGCAUCACUGACAGAAACACGUUUUCAAGAGUUACUGAUCUAAUGUGCCUGUUUGUGUGUGUGUGUGUGUGUGUGUGUGUGUGUGUGUGUGAGAGAGAGAGAGAGGGAGAGAGAGAGAGAGAGGGAUAAGAACAGCGUGUGCGUGUUUGUUCUCUCAAAAAUAAUUUUAAGGAAUAGUCUACCCCCAAAGUGAUAAUUUAUAUGCGUUACUCAGCCUGUGUUACAUUGAAUUCAUGGGGAAAACUGCUUUUCUUGCAUGCCUCCACAGUGCAUGAAGAAUCAAAAAACAGAGAAAAUUCUUGAUAAACUGAAGUCAUAGAGGGCCAUGCUUGCUCAGGCGCACUACCUCUCCAUACACGAGCCUAUUGAUGUGGAAGGUUUUUGAACUGUACAGCUUUAGUUUAAAUGCAUGUGUCUGGGAAAUACUGAGCAUACGACUGGAUACAUGAGAUUGUGUGAGAAAUUUUUGAACUCAUGUUUUGUUAUAGUUUUUGUGUUCUUAAACGCAGCCCCCAUUUACUUCGAUAUAACAAAAAAAAAUUUCCCAUUUUUGGAUUCUUUGAAGGCUUGCGAGAAAAGCAGAGUUUUUGUCAUAAGUUCCAUGUAGCACAGGGUGAGGAUUUGAAAUACAAAAGAUCAUUUUGGGGGUGUUGCUUUAACAUACCAAUUGAGGUUACAUUAAUUAGAACAGUUUUAGUCAAAUAUAUCCACAAUUGCUCUUUUAGCUGUGCAUCAAGAUACUAAACUUUAGACCUCUCAAAAAAUUAACUGUGAUGAACAAUAAAGCAUGUAAAGAGAAAUAAAUUCAAUGUACACUACUAUUUUUGUACUUAAUAGCUGAUAUACCAGCUGACUUUACUACAUACUUUUGUAAUAAUCAAUUUUCGCAUAAAAAAUAAA